AUAAUCGUUUUAUCACUGCAGAGGAGGGCCUUUGUGUUUUUUAACAGCUGGGAUGCGUGCUGCGAUUUCGCCAGAGAUUACCUCAAAAAUCCAGUUACUGUUGGAGAGUGGACGCUCAGAAUCCACAUUGUUUUACAAGACAUGCUUCCUGGUUCAAGUGAGGAGAGCAUGUAUAGAAGCAUGAUGAAAUGGAGCAACACUCAUGUUCCAGAGUCUGAGGCUCUGGAGGACCGGCUGCUGAGUGUGGAGGUCUCCGAGGUGAAUGUGGACCUUCUCAUGAUGAUCAUGGAG
Oreochromis niloticus (Nile tilapia) is the source of this 291-nucleotide long non-coding RNA. RefSeq lists it as uncharacterized. NCBI's taxonomy places the organism in Eukaryota, Metazoa, Chordata, Actinopteri, Cichliformes, Cichlidae. The transcript has 4 exons. The record is from RefSeq and is a predicted model, not a curated record.